This 379-nucleotide unclassified non-coding RNA is filed under the name uncultured Oligoflexales bacterium. RNAcentral's name for it is "contains 16S-23S intergenic spacer region". Lineage: Bacteria; Pseudomonadati; Bdellovibrionota; Oligoflexia; Oligoflexales. The record is from RNAcentral.
UCCGUGUUAACCACGGCAGUCUCUCUAGAGAGCCCAACUUAAUGAUGGCAACUAGAGACGAGGGUUGCGCUCGUUGCGGGACUUAACCCAACAUGUCACCACACGAGCUGACGACAGCCAUGCAGCACCUGUCACUCUGUUGUAUUGCUACAAAAGCCGUAUUUCUACGGAUGUCAGAGGAUGUCAAACCCAGGUAAGGUUCUUCGCGUUGCUUCGAAUUAAACCACAUGAUCCACCGCUUGUGCGGGCCCCCGUCAAUUCCUUUGAGUUUUAAUCUUGCGACCGUACUUCCCAGGCGGGGUACUUAUUGCGUUAGCUCCGAUUCGGCAGGGGUCAAAACCCGCCAAAUCUAGUACCCAUCGUUUACAGCGUGGACUAC